Molecule: ribosomal RNA, 775 nt
Filed under: uncultured Neocallimastigales
Lineage: Eukaryota; Fungi; Neocallimastigomycota; Neocallimastigomycetes; Neocallimastigales
Description: partial large subunit ribosomal RNA
Rfam family: Eukaryotic large subunit ribosomal RNA
Source: RNAcentral
CGCAUCUGUGCAUGCAGCAUAUCAAUAAGCGGAGGAAAAGAAACUAACAAGGAUUCCCCUAGUAACGGCGAGUGAAGCGGGAAGAGCUCAAAUUUGAAAUCUUCAAGGGUUUACCUUUACGAAUUGUAGUUUAAAGAAGUGUUUUCUGCUGAGGUUUUGGUAAAAGUUCUUUGGAAUAGGACAUCAUAGAGGGUGAGAAUCCCGUAUUUGACCAUUACUUUCAACUUUGUGAUACACUUUCAAAGAGUCGGAUUGUUUGGGAAUGCAGUCCAAAAUGGGUGGUAAUUUUCAUCUAAAGCUAAAUAUUGGCGAGAGACCGAUAGCGAACAAGUACCGUGAGGGAAAGAUGAAAAGAACUUUGAAAAGAGAGUUAAACAGUACGUGAAAUUGUCAAAAGGGAAAGCGUUUGACACCAGUGUUGUUUUUCUGAAAAUCAAUUAAAGAACUGUUUAUGCUAAGUUGUUUAGACUUUAUCAGCUAACUGUUUAGUUUUGAGCUUUUCUUUAAUGCACUUUUCAGUUAACAAGUCAACAUCAAUUUCUUUUGCUGUAAAAAAGCUUGAGGAAGGUGGCUUGAGAUUCGUCUUAAGUGUUUAUAGCCUCUUGCCUAUGCAGUCGGAGAGAUUGAGGUCUGCAGCGUAGAUCCUUCGGGGCUAAAUGCAUUUGUGCUAAGUUAUAGCAUUUUAUAGACAACUUGUUGACUAUGAUUUGUCUUGUAGCUUACUCGCUUAUGUUAUUUUACCUACGCUUAGGAUGUUGAAGUCAUCGUAUCGCGC